UAUGUGACGUCUCUCGCAUAUCAAUAAGCGGAGGAAAAGAAACUAACAAGGAUUCCCCUAGUAACGGCGAGUGAAGCGGGAAGAGCUCAAAUUUGAAAUCUUAAAGGGUUUCCCUUUACGAAUUGUAGUUUAAAGAAGUGUUUUCUGUUGAGGUUUUGGUAAAAGUUCUUUGGAAUAGGACAUCAUAGAGGGUGAGAAUCCCGUAUUUGACCUUUACUUUCAACUUUGUGAUACACUUUCAAAGAGUCGGAUUGUUUGGGAAUGCAGUCCAAAAUGGGUGGUAAAUUUCAUCUAAAGCUAAAUAUUGGCGAGAGACCGAUAGCGAACAAGUACCGUGAGGGAAAGAUGAAAAGAACUUUGAAAAGAGAGUUAAACAGUACGUGAAAUUGUCAAAAGGGAAGCGUUUGACACCAGUGCUGUUUUUCUGAAGAUCAAUUAAAGAACUGUUUAUGCUAAGCUGUUUAGACUUUAUCAGCUAUCUGUUUAGUUUUGAGCUUUUCUUUAAUGCACUUUUCAGUUAACAAGUCAACAUCAAUUUCUUUUGCUGUAAAAAAGCUUGAGGAAGGUGGCUUGAGAUUCGUCUUAAGUGUUUAUAGCCUCUUGCCUAUGCAGUCGGAGAGAUUGAGGUCUGCAGCGUAGAUCCUUCGGGGCUAAAUGCAUUUGUGCUAAGUUAUAGCAUUUUAUAGACAACUUGUUGACUAUGAUUUGUCUUGUAGCUUACUCGCUUAUGUUAUUUUACCUACGCUUAGGAUGUUGAGCGCAUGUCUCUCUCU
This 773-nucleotide ribosomal RNA is filed under the name uncultured Neocallimastigales. RNAcentral's name for it is "partial large subunit ribosomal RNA". It matches the Rfam family "Eukaryotic large subunit ribosomal RNA", at positions 24 to 616 of the family's 3401-position model. Lineage: Eukaryota; Fungi; Neocallimastigomycota; Neocallimastigomycetes; Neocallimastigales. The record is from RNAcentral.